RNAcentral lists this signal recognition particle RNA (266 nucleotides) under Clostridia bacterium. RNAcentral's name for it is "signal recognition particle sRNA large type". It matches the Rfam family "Bacterial large signal recognition particle RNA". From Rfam's summary of the family: The signal recognition particle (SRP) is a universally conserved ribonucleoprotein involved in the co-translational targeting of proteins to membranes. Archaeal SRP consists of a 7S RNA and homologues of the eukaryotic SRP19 and SRP54 proteins. RNAcentral also lists the same sequence under 2 other names. The record is from RNAcentral. Lineage: Bacteria; Bacillati; Bacillota; Clostridia.
UCGUGCUAGACGGGGAGGUAGCGGUGCCCUGUAACCCGCAAUCCGCUAUAGCGGGGUUGAAUUCCUGCUCGAGGAGUAGCUUUGUAAGGUCUGACUUCGGAAAGUGGUGAUGAGGAUUGGGUCCUACGCAACGGAAAUUUGCGAACCCCGUCAGGGCCGGAAGGAAGCAGCGGUAAGCAAACACUUUCGUGUGCCGUAGGGAUGCCUGGUUUGAGCUAACUACCGGAGUAACGCUUGGAAGGCUAUCUUCGAAGGCAGGUGCACGG